Molecule: ribosomal RNA, 253 nt
Filed under: uncultured bacterium
Lineage: Bacteria
Description: partial 16S ribosomal RNA
Rfam family: Bacterial small subunit ribosomal RNA
Source: RNAcentral
UACGUAGGGGGCGAGCGUUGUCCGGAAUCAUUGGGCGUAAAGCGCGUGUAGGCGGCCCGAUAAGUCCGCUGUGAAAGUCCAGGGCUCAACCCUGGGAUGCCGGUGGAUACUGUCGGGCUCGAGUCCGGAAGAGGCGACUGGAAUUCCUGGUGUAGCGGUGAAAUGCGCAGAUAUCAGGAGGAACACCGAUGGCGAAGGCAGGUCUCUGGGCCACUACUGACGCUGAGAAGCGAAAGCAUGGGGAGCGAACAGG